GGUAAUAUGGCUGAGGAUAAGCAUUGAACUGUAAAUUCAAAGACAGAGAUUAGAAUCUCUUUUUACCA
Molecule: transfer RNA, 68 nt
Filed under: Sarcophilus harrisii (Tasmanian devil)
Lineage: Eukaryota; Metazoa; Chordata; Mammalia; Dasyuromorphia; Dasyuridae
Rfam family: tRNA
About the family: Transfer RNA (tRNA) molecules are approximately 80 nucleotides in length.
Source: Rfam by way of RNAcentral